Molecule: ribosomal RNA, 2329 nt
Filed under: Strombidium inclinatum
Lineage: Eukaryota; Ciliophora; Spirotrichea; Strombidiidae
Description: partial Bacterial large subunit ribosomal RNA
Rfam family: Bacterial large subunit ribosomal RNA
Source: RNAcentral
AAGUUAUUAAGGGCGUACGGGGGAUGCCUAGGCUCUCAGAGACGACGAAGGACGUGAUAAGCUGCGAAAAGCUACGGGGAGGUGCAAAUAACCAUUGAUCCGUAGAUGUCCGAAUGGGGCAACCUAGUAUUGUGAAGCAAUACUGCAUAGCGUUAACCCGGGGAACUGAAACAUCUAAGUACCCGGAGGAAAAGAAAUCGAAGAGAUUCCCUGAGUAGCGGCGAGCGAAACGGGACUAGCCUAAAGCUGUAAAGUUAGUGGAAGUGUUCUGGAAAGGCACACCAAAGAAAGUGAAAGUCUUGUACACGAAAGCAAUACAGUGGAAUUAAGUAGGGCGGAACACGAGAAAUUCUGUCUGAAGAUGGGGAGACCAUUCUCCAAGGCUAAAUACUCCUGAGAGACCGAUAGUGAACCAGUACCGUGAGGGAAAGGUGAAAAGAACCGCAAGAAGCGGAGUGAAAAGAACCUGAAACCGUGCGCCUACAAGCGGUCGGAGCCUACGGGUGACGGCGUGCCUUUUGCAUAAUGAGCCUACGAGUUACUCCUUACUAGCAAGUUUAAGUUUUUAAGAAACGGAGGCGGAGCGAAAGCGAGUCUGAAUAGGGCGAUAGCUAGUAGGGGUAGACGCGAAACCAUGUGAUCUACCCAUGGGCAGGUUGAAGUGUGGAUAGUCUCUGCAUGGAGGACCGAACCAGUACAUGUUGAAAAAUGUUUGGAUGACCUGUGGGUAGGGGUGAAAGGCCAAUCAAACUUGGAGAUAGCUCGUACUCCCCGAAAUGCAUUUAGGUGCAGCGUUGGGCAGCUUGUCAUGGAGGUAGAGCUACCAAUAGGGCUAGGGGGCUUCACCGCCUACCAACCCCUGAUGAACUCCGAAUGCCAUGACAAGACACCAGCAGUGAGGCGUCGGGUGCGAAGGUCCGAUGCCAAGAGGGGAACAACCCAGACCAUCAGUUAAGGUCCCAAAGUAUCCACUAAGUUGAAUGAACGAGGUGGGGAUGCUAUGACAGCUAGGAUGUUGGCUUGGAAGCAGCCAUUCAUUUAAAGAGUGCGUAACAGCUCACUAGUCGAGCGUUCCUGCGCGGAAAAUAAUCGGGCAUCAAGUGGAUCACCGAAACUAUGGGCCGAGAGGCGGUAGGGGAGCAUUGUAGUGGCGUAGAAGGUGUGUCGUGAGACAUGCUGGAGCAACUAGAAAAGCAAAUGUAGGCAUGAGUAACGAUAAAUGAGGUGAGAGACCUCAUCGCCGUAAGACUAAGGUUUCCUCGAUCGAUGUUAAUCAGAUCAGGGUUAGUCGGGACCUAAGGCGAACCCGAAAGGGGUAGUCGAUGGAAAGCAGGUUAAUAUUCCUGCACCUGCUAUACAAUGAAAGGGACGGAGUUAUGUAGUUGCUGAGGGCUGACGGAAUAGCCCCCUGAGCGGAACCCUAUGGGUGAAGCGAAGUGAUGAAUUAACUUCCAAGAAAAGCGAGUAUAGCAGCUCGUACCGUAAACCGACACAGGUAGUCGAGGAGAGUAUCCUAAGGCGCUCGAGUGAUUCAUGGUUAAGGAACUAGGCAAAAUAGCCCCGUAACUUCGGGAGAAGGGGCGCUCGAAAGAGCCGCAGUGAAAAGGCCCAGGCGACUGUUUAGCAAAAACACAGGACUCUGCCAAAUCGAAAGAUGAAGUAUAGGGUCUGACACCUGCCCGGUGCUGGAAGGUUAAGGAAGGUAGUUAGCUCCGGCAAAGCUAUUGACUGAAGCCCCAGUAAACGGCGGCCGUAACUAUAACGGUCCUAAGGUAGCGAAAUUCCUUGUCGGGUAAGUUCCGACCUGCACGAAUGGCGUAACGACUUCCCCGCUGUCUCCAACAUCGACUCAGCGAAAUUGAAUUGCCUGUCAAGAUGCAGGCUUCCCGCGGUUAGACGGAAAGACCCCGUGCACCUUUACUACAGCUUCGCACUGGCUUCAGGCACAGCAUGUGCAGGAUAGGUGGUAGGCUUCGAAGCAGUGACGCCAGUCGCUGUGGAGCCUCCCUUGAGAUACCACCCUUGCUCUGCUUGAAGUCUAACCGCGGCCCGUUAUCCGGGUCCGGGACCCUGCGUGGUGGGUAGUUUGACUGGGGCGGUCGCCUCCCAAAAAGUAACGGAGGCGCGCAAUGGUGCCCUCAGGCUGAUUGGAAACCAGCCGUAGAGUGCAAAGGCAUAAGGGCGCUUGACUGCGAGACCGACAGGUCGAGCAGGUGCGAAAGCAGGCCUUAGUGAUCCGGUGGUUCCGCAUGGAAGGGCCAUCGCUCAAAGGAUAAAAGGUACUCCGGGGAUAACAGGCUGAUACCGCCCAAGAGUUCAUAUCGACGGC